AUAUAAAAGUGACAUAAUAAAAAACAUCUUGUCAUUAUAUGAAAGUCAAAAAAAUAUAUAAUAAAUAUAGAAUUUAAAAUACCUUUAAGUUGAUGUUCUAAUGUUUCUGAGUUACACAAAGUCUUUUCAAACCAUGUCAAAGUACUUCAUUUCUAUUUUAGUUAUAACGCAACGAAUUUUAUUUUAGUUAUAAAAACGUGACACUGUUCUAAAUAUGAAUAUUUUUUUAUUAAACAAUUUGCUUAUCACUUGAUUCGCGUUUAAGUUCUAAUUAUGGACACAAUUAAAAUGUAAUUUAGCGAAAAUUACGACGAUGGACUCGACUGUUAUAACCGGAAAUACAAUUUUGGCGGUUAAUAAAUGAACAUCUAGUGGCGCCACCUAUUGACAUUUAAAAUUCAAAAUUUAAUAUUUCAAAUUUGAAAGAGAUUGUAAUAUUCUAGUUGACGAUUGGAAUGUACAUAUUUUGUUUUUAAAGCUUUUUACGAAAUUUUGUUAUAAUAAGAUUUUUAAUAACAAAACUCAUCAUUUUUCAUAAUAGAGUUCAGGGCCUGAAUCAACCAAUGGUAGCGCUGUUAGCGAAAUAUGACAUUUCCGAGUAAACUAUUGGACACUUUUUACAAAAAUGAAAGCAAUAUUCAAAUGUUUUUCAUGAUAUUUCUGUUAAUCAGAUGCAUCUUUAACUGUCCUAUGAAAUAGGAUAAGACGAUUAUUCAGAGCCAUUGAGGAUUUAAAAAAAUGUUACUAAUCGCAAAAUGUUGGUUAUAGAAUCUUCAGAGCAGAGUUUUCGCGGGGAUGCCGCUGGUAUAAUUUGUCAAGCGUGGCCGAAGGAAAGAGCGACGGCUUCGAGCGAGGAAAUUUAUGGGUCGCAACGUGUCGACGGAAACCUUAAAUUUUAACGUCCCUGUCGCGUACUCGGCCGGGCCCUGCCCUGCCUGUUAAGGACCUUGUGAAGGGGGAUUACGACUUGACUGCUGCGAAGCGAGCGUGGAACACCGAGGGGUGGUCUCUCCUCUCUGUUCGCGGUGGGGGAGAAUCAGAGAAGUAUGGUGGUGGUUCUGUGGCAGGGAAGGGGGUGGCGUUGCGACGGUGCCACAGGAAAAGGUGUAGGGAAGAGGGUGGGUUAUGGGGUAUAACGCGACGAAGAACAUCCGAAUAAAAUAAUAAUAAACCGCGGAUACGUUUCAGCGCGCGUCGCUCCUUCUUCCGUCCUGAUGCUUCUCCUGUCUCUCUUUCUGCCUCGGUCUUUCCUGUUUCUGCGUCGCCUGAAAUAAAUGAGUCGGGUCUAACCGCUUGAAUCGAACGAGCAUAAUGAGUACAGAUGGAUCGUCAGAGGUGUAUGACGAUGAUGUAUUACGUCUAAAAUUGAGUCCUUAUUUUCUGUUUAAUAUUGGGAACAAAAGGAACAUUCGUU
Bombus pascuorum is the source of this 1414-nucleotide long non-coding RNA. RefSeq lists it as uncharacterized. Lineage: Eukaryota; Metazoa; Arthropoda; Insecta; Hymenoptera; Apidae. The record is from RefSeq and is a predicted model, not a curated record. The transcript is spliced from 4 exons.